GUAACUCCCAACCCCUGUGACAUACCUAUACGUUGCCUCGGCGGAUCAGCCCGCGCCCCGUAAAACGGGACGGCCCGCCCGAGGACCCCUAAACUCUGUUUUUAGUGGAACUUCUGAGUAAAACAAACAAAUAAAUCAAAACUUUCAACAACGGAUCUCUUGGUUCUGGCAUCGAUGAAGAACGCAGCAAAAUGCGAUAAGUAAUGUGAAUUGCAGAAUUCAGUGAAUCAUCGAAUCUUUGAACGCACAUUGCGCCCGCCAGUAUUCUGGCGGGCAUGCCUGUUCGAGCGUCAUUUCAACCCUCAAGCUCAGCUUGGUGUUGGGACUCGCGGUAACCCGCGUUCCCCAAAUCGAUUGGCGGUCACGUCGAGCUUCCAUAGCGUAGUAAUCAUACACCUCGUUACUGGUAAUCGUCGCGGCCACGCCGUAAAACCCCAACUUCUGAAUGUUGACCUCGGAUCAGGUAGGAAUACCCGCUGAACUUAAGCAUAUCAAAAGGCCGGGAGGA
Molecule: ribosomal RNA, 508 nt
Filed under: Fusarium incarnatum
Lineage: Eukaryota; Fungi; Ascomycota; Sordariomycetes; Hypocreales; Nectriaceae
Description: eukaryotic LSU rRNA
Rfam family: 5.8S ribosomal RNA (bases 140-293)
Source: RNAcentral